UACUUACACACACACACACACACACAGAACAAAAAUAAAUAAAAAGCAAAAGACUUACCAUGGAGAUAGAUAAGAACUAACAGGCGCUUACUGCUUGAUUACCGUGUGCUGCGUUUUUACACGUCUAAAACUCACUGGAGUAAACAGCUGGCACCUUGCGAUGCUUCAGGAAAUAGGCCGUCAGCUUUUCAGCAAAACUUGCCCAAAACCCAGAGAAUUCAAGUAGGCUGUGCACAUUUCAACUGAGACUUUUGAUGUGUGUAGUUGAAAGCGGUUUUACCAAACCAGGUAACUUCGCUUCGCCACCCCGUCUCUUUCCAGCAGUGUCCUGAGUGCUGUUCUGUUGCGAGUGCCUUCUCUCGGACUGUAUGCGUCCUUGUUGCAGUCUGCCACUGCAGUUUUUAUAUGUCAUCUGGACACAAGAUGCUCUCUUGUUCCUUGAAGACUGAUCCCACGUGCUUAUCACUACUGGAAGAAACUACUUGUGUUUUUGCAGCUACAGUGGUCUAAACGUUGAGAUAAAGCUUGCAGGGAGAAAUAACUUUUAUCAGUCCAAAAAAUAUGUUAGUAAAGCAAACAGUUCUUUUUUCAUACGUUGGUGGGGAGAGGGUAAAGCAGCUGGAAGAAUGCUUUUUUUUUUUAUUUUAGUAAAAGAUAGUGCCUGCUUAUACUUUGCCAUUCCUAUACAGCAUCCUAUCUAGUUUGCCAUUUCUAUAAAACAUUAUAUUUUCUGGUA
Molecule: non-coding RNA, 736 nt
Organism: Anas platyrhynchos (mallard)
Lineage: Eukaryota; Metazoa; Chordata; Aves; Anseriformes; Anatidae
Source: RefSeq, a predicted model, not a curated record